AUAGUUACAAUGUUACAUAGCUGAAAAGAGACUUGCGUCCAUCAAGUUCAGCCUUCCUCACAUUUGUUUUUUGCUGUUGAUCCAAAAGAAGACAAAAAAACCCAGUUUGAAGCACAAUUUUGCAACAAGCUAGGAAAAAAAUUCCUUCUUGACCCCAGAAUGGCAGUCAGAUUUAUCCUUGGAUCAAGCAGUUAUUACCCUACAUUGAAAAAUUAUAUCAUUGAAUAUUCUGUUCUUGCAAGUAUGCAUCUAGUAGCCGUUUGAACAUCUGUAUGGACUCUGAUAAAACCACUUCUUCAGGCAGAGAAUUCCACAUCCUGAU
Molecule: non-coding RNA, 322 nt
Organism: Pelobates cultripes (western spadefoot toad)
Lineage: Eukaryota; Metazoa; Chordata; Amphibia; Anura; Pelobatidae
Source: the annotation of a GenBank genome assembly